This is an RNA transcript of Triticum urartu, 2072 nucleotides long. It is a transcript of the gene named Tetratricopeptide repeat (TPR)-like superfamily protein, with no coding region annotated. NCBI's taxonomy places the organism in Eukaryota, Viridiplantae, Streptophyta, Magnoliopsida, Poales, Poaceae. The record is from RefSeq and is a predicted model, not a curated record.
CACGGUGGGUCGCGCAUCCACGCAGCCAUCGUGGUGGAAGUAACUCUCGCAUCCAGUACCACUCCCCGCCUCCGCCCCCGACCAUGGCAGCCUCCACGCCGCCGUCAUAACUAACAGCCACCCGCCCAACCUACCCGGAAACCCAGCCGCCCCGCACUGGCCCCGCUCCGCCCCGGGAUCGCGCGGAUCAGAUGCUAUCCCUGGGCGCCCUCCGCAAGCUCUGCGCCGCCUUCGACGCCGUCGCGCUCACCAUCAUCGCCGCCGGCCUCUCCCACCCCCGCUGCCGCCCCUUCUCCGCGCGCGCGGGCGGGCACUCCCCUCCGCCGGACUUCCCCACCAUCGCCUCCUGCCGCGCCGCGGUCGCGGCCUCCAAGCGCCGCCUCCAGGCCUCUUCGCCCCCCGCCGAGGCGCGGCCGGAAGGGCCCGCGGACGCCGAGGCGCCGGUGCUGGUCAGGAUCAAGAGCGAGCGAGACCCGGUGCGGCUGUACGAGCUGUUCAAGGCCAAUGCGGACAACCGCGUGCUGGUCGAGAACCGGUUCGCGUUCGAGGACGCGGUGGCGCGUCUGGCAGGUGCUCGACGGAAUGACCUCGUGGAGGAGAUCCUCGAGCAGCACAAGGCGCUGCCCCAGGGAAGGCGGGAGGGGUUCGUCAUCAGGAUCAUUGGCCUGUACGGGAGGGCCCGGAUGCCGGAGCACGCGCUCCGGACCUUCAGGGAGAUGGAGAUGUACGGGUGCGAGCGCACGGUCAAGUCGCUCAAUGCCACGAUGAAGGUGCUGAUGCAAGCACGGCUCUUUGAUGAGGCCCUGCAGCUGUUGGACGAGGCAUCACCCACGUACGGGGUUGAGCUGGAUGACAUUUCGUAUAACACAGUGGUGAAGAUGGCGUGCGACAUGGGGGAGCUCCAUGCAGCGUACCGGGUAAUGCAGGAGAUGGAGAAGGAAGGAGUGCGGCCAGAUGUCAUCACAUACACAACACUGAUGGCUGCGUUCUAUAAGAAUGGCCACCGUGAGGUUGGGGAUGGCCUGUGGAACCUCAUGAGGUUGAGGGGUUGCAUGCCCACGCUAACCAGUUACAAUGUAAGGAUUCAGUUCCUGAUCAACAGGAGAAGGGGCUGGCAGGCAAAUGAUCUGGUGCGGAAAAUGUAUGCAGCGGGGAUAACACCGGAUGAGAUCACAUAUAACUUGGUUAUUAAGGGAUUUUUUGUGAUAGGUGAGCAUGAGAUGGCGAAGACGGUCUUUGGUGCAAUGCAUGGGAGGGGAUGCAAGCCAAAUGAAAGGAUUUACCAGACAAUGGUACAUUACCUAUGUAAGCGAAGGGAGUUUAAUUUGGCAUUCAGAUUGUGCAAAGACAGCAUGGAGAAGAACUGGUUUCCAAGUGUCGAUACCAUUCACAAUCUGCUGAAAGGCCUUAUGGUAAUUAAAAAGGACAGGAAUGCCCGAGAGAUAAUGAAGUUGGUUGCUGAGAGAAAACCUUCCUUCUCAGUUGAUGACGUGAAGGCCUUCCAAGACAUAUUGUCUCAUGGGAAGACUGGAAGAUAAGUUGACUGCUGGACGAAAAGUUUUGCUGUAAAUGCACCACAUGUAACUCUGCCACUUUUUCCAUGCUUGAUUGGAAGGAGAAGGCAACAAAGAGAAUAAUGAAAGUGCAGAACAAUAGAAGUGGAGGGGAAUGGGAUCGCUUGGUCAUUCAAGCAGUAAUUGUUACCAGAACCAUUGUAGACGUUUCCAAAGCUCUAUCAACGUUGUUGCUUGCAGCAUUUGGGGGAAAACAAGCGUAUUGAUCAUCAAUCGCAGCGAAGUGAGCUUUCUUCUGCGCAGGUUAGCAACAGAUGGAGCAAUUUGCAGCUUCGUGCAAGCAGCAGCAUAGCCAACCAGAAAAUCAUGUUCAUAUACUGCUACUGGGACACACAUACACUGGGUACUUCUUAGUUAGUAUAUCAUGUUCAUGUCACUACAACCAUAAAUUUACGACAUUCUUUGUCCGGUUCUUCAUGUACAAAAUUUAUCAUUGACAUUAUGUUGUAUUCUCGUUGUUUCUACUAAAUCGACAUGUACGAGACAGGUGGAACAGUA